This 406-nucleotide ribosomal RNA is filed under the name uncultured bacterium. RNAcentral's name for it is "partial 16S ribosomal RNA". It matches the Rfam family "Bacterial small subunit ribosomal RNA", at positions 30 to 526 of the family's 1533-position model. The record is from RNAcentral.
AUUGAACGCUGGCGGUAGGCCUAACACAUGCAAGUCGAACGAGUGGCGGACGGGUGAGUACUGUCUGGGAAACUGCCUGAUGGAUGGGGAUAACUACUGGAAACGGUAGCUAAUACCGCAUACCAUCGGAUGUGCCCAGUUGGGAUUAGCUAGUAGGUGGGGUAAAGGCUCACCUAGGCGACGAUCCCUAGCUGGUCUGCGAGGAUGACCAGCCACACCGGAACGAAGACACGGUCCAGACUCCUACGGGAGGCAGCAGUGGGGAAUAUUGGACAAUGGGCGAAAGCCUGAUGCAGCCAUGCCGCGGGUAUGAAGAAGGCCUUCGGGUUGUAAAGUACUUUCGGCAGGGAGGCGUUACCCGCAGAAGAAGCACCGGCUAACUACGUGCCAGCAGCCGCGGUAAUAC